This 489-nucleotide ribosomal RNA is filed under the name uncultured bacterium. RNAcentral's name for it is "partial 16S ribosomal RNA". It matches the Rfam family "Bacterial small subunit ribosomal RNA", at positions 30 to 507 of the family's 1533-position model. The record is from RNAcentral.
UUGAACGCUGGCGGCAGGCCUCACACAUGCAAGUCGAAUGGUAACAGGAAACAGCUUGCUGUUUCGCUGACGAGUGGCGGACGGGUGAGUAAUGUCUGGGAAACUGCCUGAUGGAGGGGGAUAACUACUGGAAACGGUAGCUAAUACCGCAUAACGUCGCAAGACCAAAGAGGGGGACCUUCGGGCCUCUUGCCAUCAGAUGUGCCCAGAUGGGAUUAGCUAGUAGGUGGGGUAACGGCUCACCUAGGCGACGAUCCCUAGCUGGUCUGAGAGGAUGACCAGCCACACUGGAACUGAGACACGGCCCAGACUCCUACGGGAGGCAGCAGUGGGGAAUAUUGCUCAAUGGGCGCAAGCCUGAUGCAGCCAUGCCGCGUGUAUGAAGAAGGCCUUCGGGUUGUAAAGUACUUUCAGCGGGGAGGAAGGGAGUAAAGUUAAUACCUUUGCUCAUUGACGUUACCCGCAGAAGAAGCACCGGCUAACUCCGUG